AACGAACGCUGGCGGCAGGCUUAACACAUGCAAGUCGAGCGCCCCGCAAGGGGAGCGGCAGACGGGUGAGUAACGCGUGGGAACGUACCUUUUGGUUCGGAACAACUCCGGGAAACUGGAGCUAAUACCGGAUACGCCCUAACGGGGAAAGAUUUAUCGCCGAACGAUCGGCCCGCGUCUGAUUAGCUAGUUGGUGAGGUAACGGCUCACCAAGGCGACGAUCAGUAGCUGGUCUGAGAGGAUGAUCAGCCACACUGGGACUGAGACACGGCCCAGACUCCUACGGGAGGCAGCAGUGGGGAAUAGUGGACAAUGGGCGCAAGGCUGAUCCAGCCAUGCCGCGUGAGUGAUGAAGGCAUUAGGGUUGUAAAGCUCUUUUGUCCGGGAAGAUAAUGACGGUACCGGAAGAAUAAGCCCCGGCUAACUUCGUG
This 431-nucleotide ribosomal RNA is filed under the name uncultured bacterium. Its description in RNAcentral is "partial 16S ribosomal RNA". It matches the Rfam family "Bacterial small subunit ribosomal RNA", at positions 29 to 507 of the family's 1533-position model. The record is from RNAcentral.